Molecule: ribosomal RNA, 826 nt
Filed under: uncultured bacterium
Lineage: Bacteria
Description: bacterial SSU rRNA
Rfam family: Bacterial small subunit ribosomal RNA
Source: RNAcentral
ACACAUGCAAGUCGAACGAGAGAGAAGGAGCUUGCUUCUUCGAUCGAGUGGCGAACGGGUGAGUAACGCGUGAGGAACCUGCCUCAAAGAGGGGGACAACAGUUGGAAACGACUGCUAAUACCGCAUAAGCCCACGGGUCGGCAUCGAUCUGAGGGAAAAGGAGCAAUCCGCUUUGAGAUGGCCUCGCGUCCGAUUAGCUAGUUGGUGAGGUAACGGCCCACCAAGGCGACGAUCGGUAGCCGGACUGAGAGGUUGAACGGCCACAUUGGGACUGAGACACGGCCCAGACUCCUACGGGAGGCAGCAGUGGGGAAUAUUGCACAAUGGGGGAAACCCUGAUGCAGCGACGCCGCGUGGAGGAAGAAGGUCUUCGGAUUGUAAACUCCUGUUGUUGAGGAAGAUAAUGACGGUACUCAACAAGGAAGUGACGGCUAACUACGUGCCAGCAGCCGCGGUAAAACGUAGGUCACAAGCGUUGUCCGGAAUUACUGGGUGUAAAGGGAGCGCAGGCGGGAAGACAAGUUGGAAGUGAAAUCUAUGGGCUCAACCCAUAAACUGCUUUCAAAACUGUUUUUCUUGAGUAGUGCAGAGGUAGGCGGAAUUCCCGGUGUAGCGGUGGAAUGCGUAGAUAUCGGGAGGAACACCAGUGGCGAAGGCGGCCUACUGGGCACCAACUGACGCUGAGGCUCGAAAGUGUGGGUAGCAAACAGGAUUAGAUACCCUGGUAGUCCACACCGUAAACGAUGAUUACUAGGUGUUGGAGGAUUGACCCCUUCAGUGCCGCAGUUAACACAAUAAGUAAUCCACCUGGGGAGUACGACCGCA